UCACAGUUUACACUGGCAGUCUUGCUAGAGUUCCCGACAUGACUCGCUGGCAACUAACAACAGGGGUUGCGCUCGUUAUAGGACUUAACCUGACACCUCACGGCACGAGCUGACGACAACCAUGCAGCACCUUGUAAUUCGUCUUGCGAAAGCCUAGUUUCCUAAGCGGUCAAACUACAUUUAAGCCCUGGUAAGGUUCCUCGCGUAUCAUCGAAUUAAACCACAUGCUCCACCGCUUGUGCGGGCCCCCGUCAAUUCCUUUGAGUUUCAGGCUUGCGCCCGUACUCCCCAGGUGGGAUACUUAUCACUUUCGCUUAGCCACUCAGAAUUACUUCCGAACACCUAGUGAACAUCGUUUAUAGCUAAGACUAC
Molecule: unclassified non-coding RNA, 372 nt
Filed under: uncultured Flavobacteriaceae bacterium
Lineage: Bacteria; Pseudomonadati; Bacteroidota; Flavobacteriia; Flavobacteriales; Flavobacteriaceae
Description: contains 16S-23S intergenic spacer region
Source: RNAcentral